CCAGCUCGAUCCUUUUCUGAAGACAAUAUGUAUGUAACUUUACAAUAUUUACAUCAGAUUAAACCUAAAACCAGUGUUGCCAAGGCUGUUGCCUACUAGUGUUGCCAAUGACAAGCCAUGUAGCUUGCUUAAUAAUCAACUGUCCUACUAGAACUAGGUCUUGAUGCAUUAGGAAUUUUUUUGUCAUGUCCUGAGACAUGCACAAACUUGCAGCUUUCCUAGGUCAUGCCCAUUGCAAAAGUGUGGAUUGUCAAUGCCUGCGGCAGAAGUCACACAUAGGAGCAGCCUAUGUAGCACGGACACGGCAGCACACUGGCGUGUUGGUGUCCGACACUGAUACGCCGUUGAUACAUUGCUGAUACGCAUCGGCAUAUUAAACUGUAAAAAUAAACAUCUUUAAUCACCGAUACUCCAUGGACAAGGCGUCGAUGCAUGUCCAAGCGGCUGAGAGAAGGGAGGUGUGGCAGCCUGAGCUUGACGGUGGGCAGCGGCGACCUGACCUGGAUAGCCCUGGCAGCAGGCCAGAUCCAGCAUGGCUGGGGUCUGGGGCGGCAGGAGGGGCGUAGUCUGACGUGACAAAUGGGCGGCCGACGGCAGGAGGUGGCCGGCACGCUGCUGGAGAUAGCCUACACACGUCAGAGGUGGAGGAGAUGACCGAGCUGAGCCCCGUCCGUUAGGUGGCUGGCAUCUGGCGGCCAUGGAAAGGGUGGAGUGGAGAAGAUGAGAAAUCGGCGGUGGGGAGCAGAAGAUCAGUUUGUUUGUGUGCUGGAGUAGUGGGCUGCAGUAAGGAGAGGGAGGGAUUGGGCUGGGCCAUUCCAUUCCCUUCUCACCUUUUCUUUUCCUCCCAUUUUCUUUUCAAUUUGCUGUAUAUUUGCUACUGCAACAAUUUGCUAUGUCAUGAUUAUGUCUGUUGCCGUAUCACCGUGUCGCCAUUUUUGAGAAAACAGCGAAUCCCCGCGCGUGUCGGAACGUAGGGUGCAGCAACAGACCAGGCAUAUGCGCUACCUAAUCCCAUAAAGUUGUCGCUUGUAGUACCUCCAGCAAUGAGGAUGCCGCGACAUUGGUGCCAGGCCCUCAUCACACGUUUGUGGCAUCUGAGUUUUAUGAAAUGCCAGAUUAAAGAGCUAACAGUAGAGGUUGGCGGCUAUUUCAAUAAGUUUUUUUUAUUUCUUUGGAGAAUAAGCACUUGAUAGAUCAUGUCAUCCCACCUGGGCAAAACACCCUACAUAACACUCAGAACCUAGCAAAACCACAUCAAUGACAAUUUUAGGGUUUAUGUGGUCCAGAGUUGCAAGUGUUAGGGGGUAUGAUAUCUGAUUUUAUAGUUAGGGGCUAAUACUUCUGAAAAAACUAUUUUAAAAUAAAUAAAGUGCUAGACCUCAGAAUCACUGUUGGAGCAAACACAACUUACAUCUUGAAAACAACACAAAUACAAAAUUAUGUAUUUAAGACAGCAAUAGUGACUGUUGACCUGACUAUCUAUGCAUUGGAGUUCAUAUUCAGUAUUAAGGCAACAGUAAGGACAAGUCCAUAGUAAAUGUAACUUCAAUCUCAUUUAUACUUAAUAAGUUUUUCAACCUUGUAAUGUAACUCUCAAGUGCAGAGAACAAAGAUGUUAGACGCAGUAAAGAUUAAAGAAGAAGUCCCACCAGGAAAAACAAGUGUACCUGAGACUUUUCCAACCAUCGAUUCAGCACCAUCCAUAGGAGUAUCAACUAGUUCAUUGUAGUAGUCUAAAUCAUCAGUAGCAUCCACAUUCUAAAAUGUCAAUAACAGUUGGAUAAGGAAAUAUUUUUGCUACCAAUUAUCAUAUGAAAUAUCAAUACAUUAAUUAAAAGGAGCUUCGUCUGCACCUUUGGCUAGAACUUUGCAACUCUUUCCUCUUUAGCUUGUGCACCAAACAUUUCCUCAAAUUCAUCUACAUCAUCAAUAGUCUUGCCACAUGAACUGGCAUGUGACACUUGGAUGUGUGAAACCACCAAGCUUUCUUGAUGUGUAGCUAAUUUAGACAAAUCAGCAUUUUGCUUGUCACCUUGAGAAAUCCUAUCUGCAGCAGCACCACCACCCGGAGGUCCCAAUGGAACUGUCAGCACAUCAUCCGAUGGUGUCUCAAGAAUACCUUGAGAAUCAGCUUUAUCAUCAGGUGUCUCACUACCAGGGCAUGUCAAGGAUGCUCUUUCUUGGCUGGUGAGUUCUUUAGAAGAACUGACUUGAUUUAAGGCUCCUUGUUUCCCAAUUCCAUUUUCCAAAGUAGGAUUAGACGCUGCAGAUCUGGAUGACAAAGCAGAUUUUCGGGGUUUGGCCCGUUGCUUGGGACGGAACUUUGCAGCGGUCUGGACGUCUUAUGAGGCAUCAAAGAUGUUGUCGAAGUUGGCCUCGUCAUCAAUCAUCUGUGCAACCGUUGUGUUCUACAGCUAUCUUGAAAUGUAAAUGUCACUGGAAGGAACAUUACAAAUUUAGGAAAGCAAAGGUGGCAAACAUAGAAACAGACAAGAAAAAAAGGAAAUAAAACCCCUUGGGGCCUGUGGAGUGUAGAGUUAGGAUUCGGAUAUUUCACAAGAACAUCGGGAAUUUAGUUAAAUUUGAAUUAAAUACAAAACUUGCAAAUGAUAUAGCCCAAUGCAAAGAUAGUUGAUGGCACUUAUAUUUACACGGGUCGGAAGCAGUAGAGCAGGCAAACACAGUGCAUCAUCACGUGAGAGUAAUGGCAGAGCUCUAGACGGAGGACAACCGGCAGCGACAAAUAACUAACUAAACCGCAGCAAAAGCACGCGGCGCCAACAAUGGGUAUAACAUUACUAUGUCAAAACAGACAAAAAUUCCAAGAAAGUUGGGGGCAAUGCCCAAUCGGUUUAUGUUGUACCCUCAGCAAAAGCCAUAUAAUAGCAUUAUUCUCUAAGAUUUCCAUACCCAACUCACAAUUUUCCCAGGAUGCCUACAUCAGCAAUACUACUGUCUAGACUAAGCUUAAACGUGGUUGCUUUUGCACAUUACAAAUGCUAUAUCUAAGAUUGCCGAACCGUUUCAGCGUCCAUCACCUUCUGCACGGGUAAAGAAAAGGUCCCCCCUGCUUGGGUUUAAGUUGAAUCCCCAAUUCCACUGAGAUCGAUCAAUAGUACAGCGCCCUGAAUAAUUAUCUAAUAAAACAAUGGGCGGAUGGAUUGCAACACCAGAGCACCAUGUAGAAAUGAAAUUCGCAACUAGGUCAAUAGAGACAAAGGAAUAUUCGAAUUUGACAGAAAAAAAAAAGCUGUGGCAACGGGAGUUCAUCCAAGCAAACCUGGGAAUACUUACCGAUGAGAGAAGAAACCAAUCGCGUGCGGAGGGGUAUUCAACCCACUCUACCACACCGAGAGCAGAAGGGCGAUGGGGCGACGGUGGCAAGGGGACGCCGGGCCGGAGGCGAGGGCACGAGGCGGCGCCGCGGCGGGAUUCUGCCUUGGGUUUACUCUAUAUAGGAGUCCAGUCGUCUGUUGCCGCAACCGUUGCUUCGGGAGGUGCCUGUCUCUUCUUGGCAUAGAAGCGGCGGAGGCUCUGUUUGGAGAUGCAGGUGGAAAGGGAAGGGAUGUGGGCGGCGGGCUCAUGGGCUGGAGGCCCACAAUGCUGCUACUUGGUAAACCCUUGCUUCGGGAGGUGCCUGUCUCUUCUUGGCAUAGAAGCGGCGGCGGCUCUGUUUGGAGACGCAGGUGGAAAGGGAAGGGAUGUGUGCGGCGGGCUCAUGGGCUGGAGGCCCACAAUGCUGCUACUUGGUAAACCCUUGCUUCGGGAGGUGCCUGUCUCUUUUUGGCAUAGAAGCGGCGGCGGCUCUGUUUGGAGACGCAGGUGGAAAGGGAAGGGAUGUGGGCGGCGGGCUCAUGGGCUGUCAUGGGCUGGAGGCCCACAAUGCUGCUACUUGGUACCGCGGCUCUAUUUGGAGACGCAGGUGGAAAGGGAAGGGAUGUGGGCGGCGGGCUCAUGGGCUGUCAUGGGCUGGGCGCGGCUCAUGAGCAUUGUCGGCCUCCAGCUGUCAGCAUUGUGGGCCUCCAGCCCAUGACAGCCCAUGAGCCCGCCGCACACAUCCCUUCCCUUUCCACCUGCGUCUCCAAACAGAGCCGCCGCCGCUUCUAUGCCAAGAAGAGACAGGCACCUCCCGAAGCAACGGUUGCGGCGACAGACGGCUGGACUCCUAUAUGGAGUAAACCCAAGGCAGAAUCCCGCCGCCUCGUGCCCUCGCCUCCGGCCCGGCGUCCCCUUGCCACCGCCGCCCCAUCGCCCUUCUGCUCUCGGUGUGGUAGAGUGGGUUGAAUACCCCUCCGCACGUGAUUGGUUUCUUCUCUCGUCGGUAAGUAUUCCCAGCUUUGCUUGGAUGAACUCCCGUUGCCACAGCUUUUUUUUCUGUCAAAUUCGAAUAUUCCUUUGUCUCUAUUGAGCUAGUUGCGAAUUUCAUUUCUACAUGGUGCCCUGGUGUUGCAAUCCAUCCGCCCAUUGUUUUAUUAGAUAAUUAUUCAGGGCGCUGUACUAUUGAUCGAUCUCAGUGGAAUUGGGGAUUCAACUUAAACCCAAGCAGGGGGGACCUUUUCUUUACCCCUGCAGAAGGUGAUGGACGCUGAAACGGUUUGGCAAUCUUAGAUAUAGCAUUUGUAAUGUGCAAAAGCAACCACGUUUAAGCUUAGUCUAGACAGUAGUAUUGCUGAUGUAGGCAUCCUGGGAAAAUUGUGAGUUGGGUAUGGAAAUCUUAGAGAAUAAUGCUAUUAUAUGGCUUUUGCUGAGGGUACAAGGUAAACUGAUUGGGCAUUGCCCCCAACUUUCUUGGAAAUUUUGUCUGUUUUGACAUAGUAGCAUUAUACCCAUUGUUGUCGCCGCGUGCUUUUGCUGCGGUUUAGUUAGUUAUUUGUCGCUGCCGGUUGUCCUCCGUCUAGAGCUCUGCCAUUACUCUCACGUGAUGAUGCACUGUGUUUGCCUGCUCUACUGCUUCCGACCCGUGUAAAUGUAAGUGCCAUCAACUAUCUUUCCAUUGGGCUAUAUCAUUGGGCUAUAUCAUUUGCAAAGUUCCGUCCCAAGCAACGGGCCAAACCCCGAAAAUCUGCUUUGUCAUCCAGAUCUGCAGCGUCUAAUCCUACUGUGGAAAAUGGAAUUGGGAAACAAGGAGCCUUAAAUCAAGUCAGUUCUUCUAAAGAACUCACCAGCCAAGAAGGAGCAUCCUUGACACCUGAUGAUAAAGCUGAUUCUCAAGGUAUUCUUGAGACACCAUCGGAUGAUGUGCUGACAGUUCCAUUGGGACCUCCGGGUGGUGGUGCUGCUGCAGAUAGGAUUUCUCAAGGUGACAAGCAAAAUGCUGAUUUGUCUAAAUUAGCUACACAUCAAGAAAGCUUGGUGGUUUCACACAUCCAAGUGUCACAUGCCAGUUCAUGUGGCAAGACUAUUGAUGAUGUAGAUGAAUUUGAGGAAAUGUUUGGUGCACAAGCUAAAGAGGAAAGAGUUGCAAAGUUCUAGCCAAAGGUGCAGACGAAGCUCCUUUUAAUUAAUGUAUUGAUAUUUCAUAUGAUAAUUGGUAGCAAAAAUAUUUCCUUAUCCAACCGUUAUUGACAUUUUAGAAUGUGGAUGCUACUGAUGAUUUAGACUACUACAAUGAACUAGUUGAUACUCCUAUGGAUGGUGCUGAAUCGAUGGUUGGAAAAGUCUCAGGUACACUUGUUUUUCCUGGUGGGACUUCUUCUUUAAUCUUUACUGCGUCUGACAUCUUUGUUCUCUGCACUUGAGAGUUACAUUACAAGGUUGAAAAACUUAUUAAGUAUAAAUGAGAUUGAAGUUACAUUUACUAUGGACUUGUCCUUACUGUUGCCUUAAUACUGAAUAUGAACUCCAAUGCAUAGAUAGUUAGGUCAACAAUCACUAUUUCUGUCUUAGAUACAUAAUUUUGUAUUUGUGUUGUUUUCAAGAUGUAAGUUGUGUUUGCUCCAACAGUGAUUCUGAGGUCUAGCACUUUAUUUAUUUUAAAAUAGUUUUUUCAGAAGUAUUAGCCCCUAACUAUAAAAUCAGAUAUCAUACCCCCUAACACUUGCAACUCUGGACCACAUAAACCCUAAAAUUGUCAUUGAUGUGGUUUUGCUAGGUUCUGAGUGUUAUGUAGGGUGUUUUGCCCAGGUGGGAUGACAUGAUCUAUCAAGUGCUUAUUCUCCAAAGAAAUAAAAAAAACUUAUUGAAAUAGCCGCCAACCUCUACUGUUAGCUCUUUAAUCUGGCAUUUCAUAAAACUCAGAUGCCACAAACGUGUGAUGAGGGCCUGGCACCAAUGUCGCGGCAUCCUCAUUGCUGGAGGUACUACAAGCGACAACUUUAUGGGAUUAGGUAGCGCAUAUGCCUGGUCUGUUGCUGCACCCUACGUUACACCAAUUCCGACACGCGCGGGGAUUCGCUGUUUUCCCAAAAAUGGCGACACGAUGAUACGGCAACAGACAUAAUCAUGACACAGCAAAUUGUUGCAGUAGCAAAUAUACAGCAAAUUGAAAAGAAAAUGGGAGGAAAAGAAAAUGGGAGCAAAUGCAUUUGGUUCAGCUGGCGCGUUCGAAACGCGAACGCUCGCUGCCGACGCUCAACCAAACGGGGCCUUCCUAGGUCAUGCCCAUUGCAAAAGUGUGGAUUGUC
RNAcentral lists this long non-coding RNA (6623 nucleotides) under Panicum hallii. RNAcentral describes it as "long non-coding RNA (PHAL_LNC000670)". Lineage: Eukaryota; Viridiplantae; Streptophyta; Magnoliopsida; Poales; Poaceae. The record is from RNAcentral.